Molecule: ribosomal RNA, 250 nt
Filed under: uncultured bacterium
Lineage: Bacteria
Description: partial 16S ribosomal RNA
Rfam family: Bacterial small subunit ribosomal RNA
Source: RNAcentral
UCGAGAAGCUUCGGCAAUGGGCGAAAGCCUGACCGAGCGACGCCGCGUGAGCGAAGAAGGCCCUAUGGGUUGUAAAGCUCUGUCAGAUUGGGAAGAAAACCUCGUGAUUAAUACCUGCGAGGCUUGACGGUACCAUCAGAGGAAGCACCGGCUAACCCCGUGCCAGCAGCCGCGGUAAUACGGGGGGUGCAAGCGUUGUUCGGAUUCACUGGGUAUAAAGGGUGCGCAGGCGGCCUGUUAAGUCAGAGGU